RNAcentral lists this small nucleolar RNA (107 nucleotides) under Nicotiana sylvestris (wood tobacco). Its description in RNAcentral is "Plant small nucleolar RNA R71". It matches the Rfam family "Plant small nucleolar RNA R71". Rfam says of the family: R71 is a member of the C/D box family of snoRNAs containing the C (UGAUGA) and D (CUGA) box motifs. Multiple nearly identical copies of this snoRNA have been identified in Arabidopsis, and it is thought to function as a 2'-O-ribose methylation guide for 18S ribosomal RNA. The record is from Rfam by way of RNAcentral. Lineage: Eukaryota; Viridiplantae; Streptophyta; Magnoliopsida; Solanales; Solanaceae.
AUUCCAUUAUCCUGACACCUUCUCACUAUCUCCUUGAAUCUUUCACAUGCUUCAAAGACCGUUUCAGUAUCCUUCUGGCAGAAGUUGUCAAUUUUCCUUCUGAACUU